This 308-nucleotide ribosomal RNA is filed under the name Kryptoperidinium foliaceum. RNAcentral describes it as "partial Bacterial large subunit ribosomal RNA". It matches the Rfam family "Bacterial large subunit ribosomal RNA", at positions 1980 to 2290 of the family's 2925-position model. Lineage: Eukaryota; Dinophyceae; Peridiniales; Kryptoperidiniaceae. The record is from RNAcentral.
GUUCCGACCUGCACGAAUGGCGUAACGACUUCCCCGCUGUCUCCAGCAGAGACUCAGUGAAAUUGAAUUCCCCGUGAAGAUGCGGGGUUCCUGCGGUCAGACGGAAAGACCCCGUGCACCUUUACUACAGCUUCACACUGGUAUUCGUCACGACAUGUGUAGGAUAGGUGGUAGACGUUGAAGCAGGAGCGCCAGCUCUUGUGGAGUCACCCUUGAAAUACCACCCUUGUCGUCAUGGAUAUCUAACCGCGGUACAACAAUAUCCGGGACCGUGUGUGGCGGGUAGUUUGACUGGGGCGGUCGCCUCC